This 141-nucleotide non-coding RNA is filed under the name unclassified sequences. RNAcentral describes it as "IMES-2 RNA motif". It matches the Rfam family "IMES-2 RNA motif". The record is from Rfam by way of RNAcentral.
UCUUAACUUAAGAGGCAACUCUUAACUGGCCAUCCAGGGAAAAGUCGAGAGACCUAAGCCUGGAGGGCAGAAAACCCUGCAAAGUAGUGCUAAACAUGUGGGGUGGCCGGUUCGGCGGUAGCAACUUCAACGACGGACCUA